RNAcentral lists this ribosomal RNA (468 nucleotides) under uncultured bacterium. Its description in RNAcentral is "partial 16S ribosomal RNA". It matches the Rfam family "Bacterial small subunit ribosomal RNA", at positions 28 to 507 of the family's 1533-position model. The record is from RNAcentral.
GACGAACGCUGGCGGCGUGCUUAACACAUGCAAGUCGAACGGAAAGGCCCUGCUUUUGUGGGGUGCUCGAGUGGCGAACGGGUGAGUAACACGUGAGUAACCUGCCCUUGACUUUGGGAUAACUUCAGGAAACUGGGGCUAAUACCGGAUAGGAGCUCCUGCUGCAUGGUGGGGGUUGGAAAGUUUCGGCGGUUGGGGAUGGACUCGCGGCUUAUCCGCUUGUUGGUGGGGUAGUGGCUUACCAAGGCUUUGACGGGUAGCCGGCCUGAGAGGGUUACCGGCCACAUUGGGACUGAGAUACGGCCCAGACUGCUACGGGAGGCAGCGGUGGAGAAUAUUGCACAAUGGGCGGAAGCCUGAUGUAGCGACGCCGCGUGCGGGAUACCGGGCUUCGGGUUGUAAACCGCUUUCGCCUGUGACGAAGCGUGAGUGACGGUACUGGGUAAAGAAGCACCGGCUAACUACGUG